Molecule: long non-coding RNA, 1203 nt
Filed under: Arabidopsis lyrata
Lineage: Eukaryota; Viridiplantae; Streptophyta; Magnoliopsida; Brassicales; Brassicaceae
Description: long non-coding RNA (ALYR_LNC002924)
Source: RNAcentral
ACCACACCUCGGUUCGCUCUAUUGUGCAUAAUGUUUUAUAAUAAAGUUUAAGUAAUUGUAGAUAAGCUUUUCUCUCUCUUCUCUCUCUAAAUUUUUCAGAGAGAGAAAGCGAUUCUCGGCAAAGGCAAACUCUUUUCUGGCAUCGAUCGAUUUUUUAUCGGUGAUGGCUGGCUCUCUUCCAGCAUCAGCCGGCUUCUUUAGCGGCGGUGGCUGGCUCCUUUCCAGCAUCAACUGGCUUUUCUAGCGGUGGUGGCUGGCUCCUUUCCAGCAUCGACUGGCUUAUGUAGCGGCGUUGGCUGGCUUUUGGUUAUUCCGGCGUAGUCCGGCGUCAUAUCAUGGUUACUUUUAAUAUCGUCGUUUGUUUUUUUCAAUAAUCUCAUUGGUUAUGUGUUGGUGGAGGCGUUUUAGGCGAUUACUCGUUUAAAAGUGUUUCUUUUCUGACUCUUUCCUUUGAGGAAGCGGUUUACAAAACUCAUCUGAGUUUGGUAACUAAAGUUGAAGAAAAAAAGAAUUUUCCGUCGCUUAUUUUAAAUUGCCUUUAGCUGUUAAUUUCUUUGUUUGGAGCUUCGAUUAGUUUAACAAACAGUUGUGGAGUAAUCAGAUUUAUUCUUCUCUUUUACCCGUUUUCGUCGGAUCUCAAUUAACUUUUGAGGUUUUUGGCAAACGGAGAAGUUUAAUAGAUCUGUAUUAUAUCCUUUAGAUCUGUUCUUGUAGUUAACGGUGAAGAAACAAAAGAAUCAAGGUUCGAUAUUCUCGACAGAUGAUUUCUUUUCACCGGAAUCAAUAGCUCAUACGGCGGAGGUUGUUGUCGGAAAGCUUAAGAUUUUUCGUCCAACACGUGUAUUUGCAACACCAGCUGACGACACGUGUCUCUGGAUGGAAUCACGAUAUCCCAUCUUCUUCCUUAGGCGGUGCCCUUGUUUGGACUCGUUUGGGCUUCAAGUAAUAUAUGUAAACCUUCUUUGUUUGUAAGGCCUUUUGUUAAGUUGGCCCUUGUAUGGUAUGGUACAAUAAAUAAAAUGAGCAACACUUAUGAGAAAAAAAAAAAAAAAGUAAUUGUAGAUAACAAAUAUCGGUUCCUCACACGUCGCUGAGCUUUGUCCAAAACUAGAAAGCAUGUUCAGAUACUCAAUGCCACUUUUCGUGUUGGGCAAUUCUUAUUUUUGUAACUGAGUUUUCACUUGAAGCCCUUUUUAAUAUAUG